CCUACGGGCGGCAGCAGUGAGGAAUAUUGGUCAAUGGUCGGGAGCCUGAACCAGCCAAGCCGCGUGAGGGAAGAAGGUACAGCGUAUCGUAAACCUCUUUUGUCAGGGAACAAAGGCGGGGACGUGUCCCCGGAUGAGUGUACCUGAAGAAAAAGCAUCGGCUAACUCCGUGCCAGCAGCCGCGGUAAUCCGGGGGAUGCGAGCGUUAUCCGGAUUUAUUGGGUUUAAAGGGUGCGCAGGCGGUCUGUUAAGUCAGCGGUCAAAGCCCGGGGCUCAACCCCGGCCCGCCGUUGAAACUGGCAGUCUGGAGUUGGAGAGAAGUAUGCGGAAUGCGCGGUGUAGCGGUGAAAUGCAUAGAUAUCGCGCAGAACUCCGAUUGCGAAGGCAGCAUGCCGGCUCCACACUGACGCUGAGGCACGAAAGCGUGGGUAUCGAACAGGAUUAGAUACCCGAGUAGUC
RNAcentral lists this ribosomal RNA (459 nucleotides) under uncultured bacterium. Its description in RNAcentral is "partial 16S ribosomal RNA". It matches the Rfam family "Bacterial small subunit ribosomal RNA", at positions 338 to 795 of the family's 1533-position model. The record is from RNAcentral.